This 467-nucleotide ribosomal RNA is filed under the name uncultured bacterium. RNAcentral's name for it is "partial 16S ribosomal RNA". It matches the Rfam family "Bacterial small subunit ribosomal RNA", at positions 28 to 507 of the family's 1533-position model. The record is from RNAcentral.
GACGAACGCUGGCGGCGUGCUUAACACAUGCAAGUCGAACGGAAAGGCCCUGCUUUUGUGGGGUGCUCGAGUGGCGAACGGGUGAGUAACACGUGAGUAACCUGCCCUUGACUUUGGGAUAACUUCAGGAAACUGGGGCUAAUACCGGAUAGGAGCUCCUGCUGCAUGGUGGGGGUUGGAAAGUUUCGGCGGUUGGGGAUGGACUCGCGGCUUAUCAGCUUGUUGGUGGGGUAGUGGCUUACCAAGGCUUUGACGGGUAGCCGGCCUGAGAGGGUGACCGGCCACAUUGGGACGGAGAUACGGCCCAGACUCCUACGGGAGGCAGCAGUGGGGAAUAUUGCACAAUGGGGGAAGCCUGAUGCAGCAACGCCGCGUGCGGGAUGACGGCCUUCGGGUUGUAAACCGCUUUCGCCUGUGACGAAGCGUGAGUGACGGUAAUGGGUAAAGAAGCACCGGCUAACUACGUG